This is a long non-coding RNA of Astatotilapia calliptera (eastern happy), 4019 nucleotides long. NCBI's taxonomy places the organism in Eukaryota, Metazoa, Chordata, Actinopteri, Cichliformes, Cichlidae. The record is from Ensembl.
UUUGCAGAAACCUUGGUUUUUAGUUUAAAUGACCAAAUAACAUCCAAUCAAAAAUAACAACCUUCUUUCAAGGCUAGAAGUAACAUCCCCCAAACUCUCCCCAGACAUGCCACCCGCCACACCUCAUCUGGUGCAGAUAAUUAGCAAUUAUGCCUCAACAACACCCAGACGCUCAGACUCAGUACAAGGCAAGUAGGGGUUACAGAGGGUGUAACACCUCAUCACUGUGUUAUAUCAUUUACAUUGUUGACCCUGUUUUUACCUCUGAGCAUGACAUUAAGCUCUCAUUAGCACAAUCCCAUUUUAGAUCAGCGUUUAGCAUAUACACUUUAGGAUUACAGAAUUUAAGAUGAGAUUUUCCUAAAAAUGAUAUAGGUAGGCAGCUCAUUCUAAUUGUUAUAUGUUCCAUACAGUGUGUAUGAUUUUCUGACUUGCCCCCAAAAUUACAACUAUUCUCUAAGUAUUAACUUUAUUUCCAGCCUUAAUCAUGCAUCAUCAUUCAUGUUUUUAAACAUUCUUUUUUCAUUCUAAUAGAAAAACUGUUCCACUUGUUCCCUCACAUAAUUUCAAACCUUUAAUAACCAGGAAUUUAAAAAGUAUUUAUGAAGAACUUGUUAAAAAAAAACCUCAAAAUGAACACGAAGAGGUUGGAGACCAGAUGAUUAAAGUGGGGUCUGCAAACACAAAGAAUCCAAGAAAACCAUCAAAUUACAGGAACCAUGACAUAAACUAUAACAAUAAUGUAAAUAACUUAAUAAAAGUAUGUUACUUUAAUAAAAUGUGAAUUCUGUUGGUUAUUUUUGUCUUUUUGUCUCUUUGAAAGAUGACAGAGUUAUACAAGAAACAAAAUCAGAGUGAGACAUUGAAAUAAAGUUCACCAAUUGUUGAAUCAACCAUGGACAUCAAAACUAUGCUGUAUUCACCUGACUGGACACUGAACCAUCACAAGCAUCGGCUGCUGUAAAAGCACAUUAACAAAGAUCACAGCAGCUGACAUUAAGGGUUAACAAAGAUCACAGCAGCUGACAUUAAGGGUUUGUUGUGGGCUGCAUCAGGAGGCUGAGUCCCUGCACAGCGAGGCACAGAACCUCCAGCAGAACCUCUGGGGGCAGCUCGGGCCGGUCCCAGCCGUCACUCAACUCUUUCAGCUUCUGAUCGUUCAAACAGAUGAACUCGGCCGCCCAGCGGAGCUCCCCUCCCUCCUGCAGGGGGACGGGCAGGGACUCUGGCAGUGUGGCCCGACCGUCCUUCAGACCAUCCACCUGGAGAAGCAGAGAGGGAGCUGUUGUCUGAUCAGAUUCAAACAUGAGGAAGACUCCGCCCACAGGCUGCUGAUAGUGGGCGGAGCUGCUGCUGAUGUGCUUUUACACAUGUGGGAUUUUCUGUUUAGUUUUAGUUUAUUCUUCUUCAUUACAAAAACAUGACAGACGAUGCUUUAAGCUGUCAGAUUACACAUGUUUAGUGUGCUCAGUCUGUAGGAUAAGGUGUGAUGAGGCUGGCAGCUGUUGAGAGGAGCAUGUAGAUGAAUGCAGAUGAAUGAGUGAAUGGACCCACCAACUGGUUGAGCACUCUCAGAGUGUCUGGACUGCAGCAGGUCAGAAGUGGCGGCACUUCAUCUGGCAGAGCUGCACAAACAUGAAGAAGAAAGACAAAGUUUGAUGACGAUGUGAUGAACUGAAACACUGAAACGCUUUGCUUCAGAUGUGUCAAUAAAACUGUGAGCUGAGCUCUCACACACUCCCAAAUCACACCUGAGCAGCUUUAUCUCAGCUCCACCACCUCCAGCUCACAUACCACACCUGAUGUGGAGCAUCUACAUGUUACUGGAUGGGAUAAAUGUCUCAGAGCAGGUCAGCUGACUUACUGUCCAACGCGCUGACCAACAGGUGAACAGCAUCCUUCACAGCAGUGGAGAUGUUUGAAAUAUCGAGAAGGUCCAUGAAGGAGGAGGCAGCCUGAGACAAAGUGCCUUCAAAUGCUCCAUUACUGCAGUGAUCCAACUGAGAGAAGCAGAGGAUUAUUAGUAGUAGUAUCAGAGCAGGAUGGUGUUUAGUCAUGGAGAACAUAAAACUACAGUUAUGUCCAUAAAUGUUUGGACAGAGACAACUUUCUUCUAAUUUUGGUUCUGUACAUUACCACAAUGAAUUUUAAAUGAAAAAACUUAGAUGCAGUUGAAGUUCAGACUUUCAGCUUUAAGUCAGUGGGUUGAACAAAAAGAUGCAUAAAAAUGUGAAGAACUAAACCAUUUUUAACUCAAUCCCUCCAUUUCAGAGACUAAGUAUUUAGACAAAUUAAAUAACUGAAAAUAAAAUGUUCAUUUCUAAUACUCUAAUGCUGACAAACCUUUGCUGGCAAUGACAGCCUGAGGUCUUGAACUCAUGGACAUGCUGUGUUUCCUGCUUUUUGAUGCUCUGCCAGGCCUCUACUGCAGCGGCAUCCAAUUUCUGUUUGUCUGUGGGCCUUUCUGUCUGAAGUUUAGUCUUCAACAAGUGAAAUGCUCAGCUGGAUCAAGAUAUGGUGGCUGACCAGGCCAUUCAAGAAUAUUCCACUUGUUUGCUUGAAUAAACUCCUGGGUUGCUUUGGGUGUAGGUUUUGGUUCAUUGUCAAUCUGUAUUAUUAAAAACCGCCCAUUUAAUUUGACUGUAUUUAGCUGGAUUUGAGCAGACAGUAUGUCUCUGACCACAGAAUUAAUUCAGCUUCUUCUGUCCUGUGUCACAUCAUCAUUAAACACUAGUGUCCCAGUGCCUACGGCAGCUAUGCAUACCCAAACCAUCACACUGCCUCCAUCGUGUUUUACAGAUGUUGUGGUAUGCUUUGGAUCAUGAGCUGUUCCACGCCUUCUGCAUGCGUUUUUCUUGUUCAAAGAAUACUUUUCCAGGACUGUGUUUGUUUGGUUUUUUUGAGCCUUUCUAUUCUUGAGUCUUAUGAGUGGCUUGGACCUUGCAGUGAACCAUUUGCAUUUACUUUCAUUCAGUCUUCUCUUUCUGGUAGACGGUGUAGUUCAGUUGGUUGGAUGUUGUGAGGUUAUGACCUCACAGCCCACUGCCCAGUUUCAGUCAUUGUGCAAAUUUACUGUUUAUAAGAUUGGGGAAACCUGCAGCCAGCUGAGAGUGAAGAAGUCACUUGGAUGAGUGACAAAAUGUUUCUUCCACUGAAAACACUUUGUCCAGGUGAACAGAAUCCCCUUUUUGGGAUUUCCUUACCUGGAUGAUUGAGCAUGCAUCAAGACAUGAAAUGAAGGGGUUUCUCUUCCCCAUGGAAAUGAUUCUGUGAUCAUCCACCACUGUUGUCUUCUGUGGACCUCCAGGUCCAGGUGCUGAGUUCACGAGUGCUUUCUAUCUUUCUCAGGAUGUACCAAACUGUAGUUUUUGCCACUCCUGAUAUUGUAGCAAUUGUUUUUUUCUUCUGUUUUUUCAGCUUAAGGAUUGCUUGUUGCACCUGCAUACAGAGCCGCACCUUGUUUGUUCGCAGCAAAAUCGUCAAAAUGCAAGCACCACACCUCAAAUGAUCUCGAGGCUUUUUAUCUGCUUAACUGACAAUGACAUAACAAAGGAAUUGCCCACAUCUGCACAUCAAGUAGCCUUUGAGUCAACUGUCCAAUUACUUUUGUAAUGUGUAUACCCUCAAAUGAAAGCUGAGAGUCUACAUUUAUGUCUGUUAUAUAACUAUAAUUGUAACAUGUUUCAGUUAAUGGGUAAAAGAAAAACUUGUGCCAGUGUCCAAAUAUAUGGCCCUAACUGUACCUGCUGUCUGUAAAGCCCCAAGCCUGUUGUCAGUAUUGGUUGUUGGGCCUGUGCAUACAUGAUUGAUAACCAGCAGCAUCCAUGGUUCCGAUAGCUGAGAAAUAUCAGUAAAGAGCUUUUAGAAAUAUAAUUAAGCAGCAAUAACUUUAAGCGAUCCUUUUAAUCAGUUUCUCACGUUGAAGUGUAUGGAACGCCAGGACUGCCAUAAUGAAUUAAUUAAAUACACCAUUAAAUAAUUAAUUAAAUGUGUCAAUAAUUAAUUAAAAUUGGAAUUAA